RNAcentral lists this long non-coding RNA (1467 nucleotides) under Cricetulus griseus (Chinese hamster). RNAcentral's name for it is "lncRNA (ENSCGRG00015001555.2)". Lineage: Eukaryota; Metazoa; Chordata; Mammalia; Rodentia; Cricetidae. The record is from RNAcentral.
CUCCGGGGGGGGCUAACAGUUCCCUCCCUCCCGGGCACCGAGGCACAGUCACAUGCUGCUCACAAGCUUCUGUCCAGGGGAAAGCUGGCGGUGAGUGCUUGCUCUUUCCUCUUCAAUGAACCUGCUUUUCCAUCUUGGAAGAGGAUGAAAUGCACCUCUCAGAAUGCAAGUUUCCCUGCGGACACUAUCCCCAGUGGUGGAGUGAUGGAGAGAACUGAGAUGAGGUCAGGGAACAACUGAACUAAAAACUCACGAAAUGGAAGGUUUGGAAGGAAUUUUCACAAGUCACAGAGGCCCUUGGAAAUGUGUUUCCUGGUGGGAAACACAAAGCUGUGAGACAUGAGAUGUUCUCACUCUGGGUGCGAGUGGAAGGUCCAAGGGGAGGAAAUACCCCUCGCACCCCCACAAAAGUGUUUCAAGAGCCAAGUGGAAGGAUGCAGAGGCACAGCAUAGGGCUUCACUAGUAACAAUGUGAAGGAGUGUGCCACCACAUCUCUCUACUAGAGGUUUUCUGCCACCCAGUGAAUCUUUUUUUCACUGAGGAACCAUCAACUUUGACAAGGCACUUCUGAGCACAAGGAACAAGAGAGAGACAUGGUCUGGAAGGUCAAGGUUGGGCUGGAUCCAUGACAAGUUCACUUGACUCAUUCUGAAUUUCAGCAGGAGGGAGGUAUCAAAAUUAAAGAUAAGAUUGGACAACAACAGAAAAUUAAAUAUUGUGGCUGAGAAAAUAAUGGAUAAUCAGGAAAUCUAAGUCCAGCAAAUUCUCACACUUUAACAGAAAGAUUUUCAGUUCCUGAGAAAGAAACAAAUCUGACUACUGGAAAGACCUUCAGGGUGGGAAACUGUGCUGAGAAAGGUCUCAAAAUUUUUCACCAUUGCUCUCUGCUUGGACAUAGCCAGUUAGUGUUGCUCACAUCUCAAUAGACUUGUAAAUGCCAAAAUAACAGCGCCUCACCCGAGGAAUCCUUCUGACUUAGGUGGCUAUCCUGUCUUCAAUGCUGGCUGGACUGGAGAAUUCCCAGAAUGCUCUUGGACAUUGGAGUACUUCCUGCAGAUGGGAGGAGGUGGUCUGCCUGGGAGAAGCAAGUCACCUGGGUCACAUGGCACUUGACCUUCAAGACUAAACGAGAAGGAACGCCUGGUAGGAUGGGUGCUGUUUUUACGAAGUCCAGGAGGUCAAGCAAUGAGCCAUUGGGGUGAAUCACCGAACAGAACACUAAAGGGAGACUUUUGUUCCAAUCAUGAGUUUAGAGGAGAGUCUUAAAAUGGUAAGGACAAGUAAAUAUGGGGCAAGAAGCAUAACCGAGCCAAGAAAUGCUGGAGCAGAUGACAACUGAACAGUAGAAACCAGGCAGAGGCCAGCCCUACAGGGCCAGGGAGGAAAGAAACAGCAGACUGGAGAAAACAAUAAAAAGGGAGAAAAAGAAAUAUGGAGAUGGGGAGGAUGAAAUGGAAAAUAAAAAC